This 547-nucleotide ribosomal RNA is filed under the name uncultured bacterium. Its description in RNAcentral is "bacterial SSU rRNA". It matches the Rfam family "Bacterial small subunit ribosomal RNA", at positions 355 to 896 of the family's 1533-position model. The record is from RNAcentral.
UGGGGAAUAUUGCGCAAUGGGGGGAACCCUGACGCAGCCAUGCCGCGUGAAUGAAGAAGGCCUUCGGGUUGUAAAGUUCUUUCGGUAUUGAGGAAGGAGUGUAUGUUAAUAGCAUACAUUAUUGACGUUAAAUACAGAAGAAGCACCGGCUAACUCCGUGCCAGCAGCCGCGGUAAUACGGAGGGUGCGAGCGUUAAUCGGAAUAACUGGGCGUAAAGGGCACGCAGGCGGUUAUUUAAGUGAGGUGUGAAAGCCCCGGGCUUAACCUGGGAAUUGCAUUUCAGACUGGGUAACUAGAGUACUUUAGGGAGGGGUAGAAUUCCACGUGUAGCGGUGAAAUGCGUAGAGAUGUGGAGGAAUACCGAAGGCGAAGGCAGCCCCUUGGGAAUGUACUGACGCUCAUGUGCGAAAGCGUGGGGAGCAAACAGGAUUAGAUACCCUGGUAGUCCACGCUGUAAACGCUGUCGAUUUGGGGAUUGGGCUUAGAGCUUGGUGCCCGUAGCUAACGUGAUAAAUCGACCGCCUGGGGAGUACGGCCGCAAGGUUA